Clupea harengus (Atlantic herring) is the source of this 412-nucleotide long non-coding RNA. Lineage: Eukaryota; Metazoa; Chordata; Actinopteri; Clupeiformes; Clupeidae. The record is from Ensembl.
GAAGUGGGCAAUUAUGCCCGUACACGAAGCAACGAUUAGGAGAAGUAUUGUAGUAUAGUGUAUCCUUAAUUGUAUUGCACGAAAGAGAGAGCUAAGUGGGAAAUCCAUGGAUCUCGGAAGUUUUUGGAUUUCAUUUCGCGAACAGAGCGGACAUUGAAUGUGAUGCGCAAGAAAAGUGUUAUUAGCAGACCAUUUCUGACCUGCCCAGAUUCCACUUAGUAAUGCACAAAGGCCCCUACUGUGCUCUGAGAUCCACAUAACAAGGUACUGCCUUUUAAAAUUGCUGAUCCUUAACAGAAAGCAGGAUGUGGGGAAUGUGAGAAUAAAUCUACACAAUGGGACUUGUGCACAUCAGAUGGGAAGGACGCCACUGGAGAAAUCCUUUUUUCCCCCAACUUUUUUUUUUUUAUAG